AUUGAACGCUGGCGGCAGGCCUAACACAUGCAAGUCGAACGAGUGGCGGACGGGUGAGUAAUGUCUGGGAAACUGCCUGAUGGAGGGGGAUAACUACUGGAAACGGUAGCUAAUACCGCAUACCAUCGGAUGUGCCCAGAUGGGAUUAGCUAGUAGGUGGGGUAAAGGCUCACCUAGGCGACGAUCCCUAGCUGGUCUGAGAGGAUGACCGGCCACACUGGGACUGGAAAACGGUCCAAACUCCGACGGGAGGCAGCAGUGGGGAAUAUUGCACAAAGGGCGGAAGCCUGAUGCAGCCAUUCCGCGUGGAGGAAGAAAGCCUUCGGGUUGUAAAGUACUUUCAGCGGGGAGGCGUUACCCGCAGAAGAAGCACCGGCUAACUCCGUGCCAGCAGCCGCGGUAAUUC
This 406-nucleotide ribosomal RNA is filed under the name uncultured bacterium. Its description in RNAcentral is "partial 16S ribosomal RNA". It matches the Rfam family "Bacterial small subunit ribosomal RNA", at positions 30 to 526 of the family's 1533-position model. The record is from RNAcentral.